This is a long non-coding RNA of Mustela erminea (ermine), 430 nucleotides long. RefSeq lists it as uncharacterized. NCBI's taxonomy places the organism in Eukaryota, Metazoa, Chordata, Mammalia, Carnivora, Mustelidae. The record is from RefSeq and is a predicted model, not a curated record. The transcript has 3 exons.
CUCGCGGCCGCCGCGGCCGCCUCAGGGAAGGGGAGCGGGGGGAUGGGCUCUGCAGCCGCCGCGGAGCACCCUUGCUGGGUGGCAUCGGGGUCCUCGCCCUCCCCCGGUUACCCGUGCGGUCUCUGCCCCCUGGACAGUCUUCCCCGAGACCGAAACCUUAAGUCAUAUUCUUUAUUCUUGUCUAAACUUAAUGGGUCAAUGUAUUUAUUCUGACCCGAAGAAGGGAAAAUGGAAGCAGGAACAAAAUUUCAUGGAGUUUCAGAAUGUCCAGUAUCACUCACGCUGUGUAGCGCUUUACCACUAUGAGAUUGUUUUGAAAUGGAUGAGGAAAGCAGGAAGUCUCCGAGUCUAAAGGAGGAGACGAGUGUGACCAGGCUGCUGGUGAGAGAUGGCAAGAGAGCUCAGUCCUGUAAGAGAAUUGGAGGACACA